UACGUAGGGUGCAAGCGUUGUCCGGAAUUAUUGGGCGUAAAGAGCUCGUAGGCGGUCUGUCGCGUCGGCUGUGAAAACCCGGGGCUCAACCCCGGGCCUGCAGUCGAUACGGGCAGACUAGAGUGCGGUAGGGGAGACUGGAAUUCCUGGUGUAGCGGUGAAAUGCGCAGAUAUCAGGAGGAACACCGGUGGCGAAGGCGGGUCUCUGGGCCGUUACUGACGCUGAGGAGCGAAAGCGUGGGGAGCGAACAGG
This 253-nucleotide ribosomal RNA is filed under the name uncultured bacterium. RNAcentral describes it as "partial 16S ribosomal RNA". It matches the Rfam family "Bacterial small subunit ribosomal RNA", at positions 524 to 776 of the family's 1533-position model. The record is from RNAcentral.